CAGUCGCCACGGUAAUACGUAGGGUGCGAGCGUUAAUCGGAAUUACUGGGCGUAAAGCGUGCGCAGGCGGCUUUGCAAGACAGAUGUGAAAUCCCCGGGCUCAACCUGGGAACUGCAUUUGUGACUGCAAGGCUAGAGUGCGGCAGAGGGAGAUGGAAUUCCGCGUGUAGCAGUGAAAUGCGUAGAUAUGCGGAGGAACACCGAUGGCGAAGGCAAUCUCCUGGGCCUGCACUGACGCUCAUGCACGAAAGCGUGGGGAGCAAACAGGAUUAGAUACCCCCGUAGUCCCUGUCUCUUAUAU
This 301-nucleotide ribosomal RNA is filed under the name uncultured bacterium. Its description in RNAcentral is "partial 16S ribosomal RNA". It matches the Rfam family "Bacterial small subunit ribosomal RNA", at positions 509 to 809 of the family's 1533-position model. The record is from RNAcentral.